GAGUUUGAUCUUGGCUCAGGACGAACGCUGGCGGCGUGCUUAAUACAUGCAAGUCAACGAGAAACAGGGUGCUUGCAUCCUGUGGACAGUGGCGCACGGGUGCGUAACACGUAGGUAAUCUGCCCUUAGGACUGACAUAACUCCGGGAAACCGAAGCUAAUAUCAGAUAAUGCAGCGGCUCGGCAUCGAGACAGUUGUUAAAUCUUCGGAGCCUAAGGAUGAACCUGCGUCCCAUUAGGUAGUUGGUGAGGUAAAUGCUCACCAAGCCUGCGAUGGGUAGCUGGUCUGAGAGGAUGAUCAGCCACACUGGAACUGAGACACGGUCCAGACUCCUACGGGAGGCAGCAGUAAGGAAUAUUGCUCAAUGGGAGAAAUCCCGAAGCAGCAACGCCGCGUGGAGGAUGAAGGCAUAUUUGUUGU
This 420-nucleotide ribosomal RNA is filed under the name uncultured Campylobacterota bacterium. RNAcentral describes it as "bacterial SSU rRNA". It matches the Rfam family "Bacterial small subunit ribosomal RNA", at positions 9 to 426 of the family's 1533-position model. The record is from RNAcentral. Lineage: Bacteria; Pseudomonadati; Campylobacterota.